RNAcentral lists this ribosomal RNA (253 nucleotides) under uncultured bacterium. RNAcentral's name for it is "partial 16S ribosomal RNA". It matches the Rfam family "Bacterial small subunit ribosomal RNA", at positions 524 to 776 of the family's 1533-position model. The record is from RNAcentral.
UACGUAGGGGGCAAGCGUUGUCCGGAUUUAUUGGGCGUAAAGAGCGUGUAGGCGGCCUGAAAGUUCAGCUGUGAAAACUCGAGGCUCAACCUCGAGACGUCGGUUGAAACCAUCUGGCUAGAGUCCGGAAGAGGAGAGUGGAAUUCCCGGUGUAGCGGUGAAAUGCGCAGAUAUCGGGAAGAACACCCGUGGCGAAGGCGGCUCUCUGGGACGGUACUGACGCUGAGACGCGAAAGCGUGGGGAGCGAACAGG